Molecule: unclassified non-coding RNA, 344 nt
Filed under: Hevea brasiliensis (rubber tree)
Lineage: Eukaryota; Viridiplantae; Streptophyta; Magnoliopsida; Malpighiales; Euphorbiaceae
Source: RNAcentral
GCUCUCUUCUUCCCCUCAUUCUUUUCUUCUUUUUGCCUACAUUGUGGAACCAAAUAGACAGAAAUAAACAAUUCCUUAAUGAGUUAGACUAGAUCAUUAAACUUGUUAACACCAUUAAAUUCUUUUUAACGAAAAAGUACCCGCAUGUUACUUUUUAAAAAGAAUGCAGAGUUUCCCUCAAACAAACAAAGGGAUGCAGAGUUAAUUGAAAAUGAGAAAGAAAGAACAAAUAUAUAUAUAUAUAUCAAGACUGAUUGAAUUUUCUAAGUGCCUAUUUGGUAUUGUGGUUUGAGAGCUAAAACUGCUCUUCAAGAAAAAAACACUAUUUUAGAUGCUAUUGAAAA